Molecule: ribosomal RNA, 440 nt
Filed under: uncultured bacterium
Lineage: Bacteria
Description: partial 16S ribosomal RNA
Rfam family: Bacterial small subunit ribosomal RNA
Source: RNAcentral
CCUACGGGGGGCAGCAGUGGGGGAUAUUGCACAAUGGGGGGAACCCUGAUGCAGCGACGCCGCGUGGGUGAAGAAGCGCCUCGGCGCGUAAAGCCCUGUCAGCAGGGAAGAAAAUGACGGUACCUGAAGAAGAAGCCCCGGCUGACUACGUGCCAGCAGCGGCGGUAAUACGUAGGGGGCAAGCGUUAUCCGGAUUUACUGGGUGGAAAGGGGGCGCAGACGGCGAGGCAAGCCAGGAGUGAAAGCCCGGGGCCCAACCCCGGGACUGCUCUUGGAACUGCGUGGCUGGAGUGCAGGAGGGGCAGGCGGAAUUCCUGGUGUAGCGGUGAAAUGCGUAGAUAUCAGGAGGAACACCGGUGGCGAAGGCGGCCUGCUGGACUGCAACUGACGUUGAGGCCCGAAAGCGUGGGGAGCAAACAGGAUUAGAUACCCUUGUAGUC